RNAcentral lists this ribosomal RNA (253 nucleotides) under uncultured bacterium. RNAcentral describes it as "partial 16S ribosomal RNA". It matches the Rfam family "Bacterial small subunit ribosomal RNA", at positions 524 to 776 of the family's 1533-position model. The record is from RNAcentral.
UACGUAGGGCGCAAGCGUUGUCCGGAAUUAUUGGGCGUAAAGAGCUCGUAGGCGGCUUGUCACGUCGGGUGUGAAAGCCCGGGGCUUAACCCCGGGUCUGCAUCCGAUACGGGCAGGCUAGAGUGUGGUAGGGGAGAUCGGAAUUCCUGGUGUAGCGGUGAAAUGCGCAGAUAUCAGGAGGAACACCGGUGGCGAAGGCGGAUCUCUGGGCCAUUACUGACGCUGAGGAGCGAAAGCGUGGGGAGCGAACGGG